AUACGUAGGUGACAAGCGUUAUCCGGAUUUACUGGGCGUAAAGGGCGUGUAGGCGGUCUUGCAAGUCAGAAGUGAAAUUCCUGAGCUCAACUCGGGCGCUGCUUCUGAAACUGCGGAGCUUGAGUGCAGGAGAGGUUAUCGGAAUUCCCGGUGUAGCGGUGAAAUGCGUAGAGAUCGGGAGGAACACCAGUGGCGAAGGCGGGUAACUGGACUGCAACUGACGCUGAGGCGCGAAAGUGUGGGGAGCAAACAGGAUUAGAUACCCUGGUAGUCCACGCUGUAAACGAUGAUUACUAGGUGUGGGGGGACUGACCCCUUCCGUGCCGCAGUUAACACAAUAAGUAAUCCACCUGGGGAGUACGGCCGCAAGGUUGAAACUCAAAUGAAUUGACGGGG
Molecule: ribosomal RNA, 396 nt
Filed under: uncultured bacterium
Lineage: Bacteria
Description: partial 16S ribosomal RNA
Rfam family: Bacterial small subunit ribosomal RNA
Source: RNAcentral